GAGUAAGAGAUGGUGGUAUAUAUUUUAUUUAUCACAAUUUUCUGUCUUUAAUGCCAAUGACCAAUGGCCUGCAUAUACUCACUUCUUUAUUUUUUUUACUGAAAAUUGCAACCAACUUUCUAUAGCUUGUUUAAAAAUAACAAUAUUUUGAAGAUAAUUUUGUUUCAAAUAACUAAAAGUGAGUGAUUGUAAUCUGAAUGAAGAGGAACGGCUGUUAUUGAACAUGGGGUGAGACAUUCUUACUCAUUUGUAAAUAAUGUUGCUAUUUAUUAUUAUUCUGUUUUUAGACGGAGUGAAACCAAAAGUCCACCGUGCCUAUUUUUGGAACAUCGUGAGUCCACAUGUCAAGUGAAAUUCCCCCGUUGUAUUGACCUCUCAACUCCAGGACCACCAACCGUUUUUGUUGUUGUUGUUGCCCGAUGCAGGAAUCUAGUGCCAGAUGAGAGACUCUCAGGCUGAAAACACCUCCAUUCAUUUACGAAUAGAUAGUACAUUUGUGCCACAGUUCAGACUACCAAUAGCGUUUUAACUCCCCCUUGUGUGUAGAGACAGAAUGCCACCAUCUACUACUAGCUGUCAAGGCAUAAGCUCCUAACGUUUAAAGGAAGAACCACUGUACAUGAUCAAAUACAAGUCUCAGAAUCAACUAUUAAAGACGACCAGAAUCCACUGGAUUCUCCAAUUACCUUGAAUGAACUACAGGACAAAAUAAAAACCCUCCAACCCAAAAAGGCCUGUGGUGUUGAUGGUAUCCUCAAUGAAAUUAUAAAAUAUACAGACCACAAAUUCCAAUUGACUGUACUUAAACUCUUUAACAUCAUCCUCAGCUCUGGCAUAUUCCCCGAUAUUUGGAACCAAGGACUGAUCACCCCAAUCCACAAAAGUGGAGACAAAUUUGACCCUAAUAACUACCGGGGGAUGGGCUUCAACAGCAACCUUAGGAAAGUCCUCUACAUUAUCAUUAACAGCAGACUCAUUUCCUCAGUAACGCUGAUCACUUGGAUCAGUGUAAACACUAAAUCAUUUAUAAAUAAUCCUGUUCUAAACGUUUACAGCCUGUAUCACAGCAAAGAACAGUGAAAUGGCUUCAGUAGGUUAAUAAACUUAUAGAAGCAGGUCUUAUUUCUGUAGAUAUAUUGAUGAUUUAAAAAGGCAUAUUUAACAGUUAGGAUAUUGAUAUUGUUAUAAAAUAAUAUUAUUUUUUAUUAGUGUUGCACCAUUGUUCUUACAGAAUAUAACCAUAUACAAUUUCAAUAACACUUGUUUGACUGGUGGACAGUGUCAUCCCCCACGGCCUCCACAAUGGAUCAGUCCACUCAGACAGGAACCAAUCAGACAGGUGUCUUAGACUGGUGGACAGUGUCAUCCCCCACGGCCUCCACAAUGGAUCAGUCCACUCAGACAGGAACCAAUCAGACAGGUGUCUUAGACUGGUGGACAGUGUCAUCCCCCACGGCCUCCACAAUGGAUCAGUCCACUCAGACAGGAACCAAUCAGACAGGUGUCUUAGACUGGUGGACAGUGUCAUCCCCCACGGCCUCCACAAUGGAUCAGUCCACUCAGACAGGAACCAAUCAGACAGGUGUCUUAGACUGGUGGACAGUGUCAUCCCCCACGGCCUCCACAAUGGAUCAGUCCACUCAGACAGGAACCAAUCAGACAGGUGUCUUAGACUGGUGGACAGUGUCAUCCCCCACGGCCUCCACAAUGGAUCAGUCCACUCAGACAGGAACCAAUCAGACAGGUGUCUUAGACUGGUGGACAGUGUCAUCCCCCACGGCCUCCACAAUGGAUCAGUCCACUCAGACAGGAACCAAUCAGACAGGUGUCUUAGACUGGUGGACAGUGUCAUCCCCCACGGCCUCCACAAUGGAUCAGUCCACUCAGACAGGAACCAAUCAGACAGGUGUCUUAGACUGGUGGACAGUGUCAUCCCCACGGCCUCCACAAUGGAUCAGUCCACUCAGACAGGACUAUUUUAUACACCUGUUUACAACGUGUGUCUGAAACUGUCCGAUCCACUAAUUUGAAGGGGUGUCCACAUACUUUUGUAUAUAUAGUGUACGUGUGACAGAGACUCUCUUCUCCAGCAAAGCUGUAUUUUUGGCUCAACAGGUCUUUGUCAUUGCCAAGGUCAGAACAUAGUCAAAUCUCCACAUUACGUAGUCUGUAUUUCCUAUUUGCCUCUAAAACAUUGAUUUCAAGACAAUGCUUGUACUACUAUUGCUGGUAUCUGUGGUUGUGCAUAUAUAUAUAUAUAAACCCAUAACAUAAGGACCUACAGUGAUGGCAUUUAAAACAGUUUGAUCUAUGUGGGACAGUCUGCUUUAG
Molecule: long non-coding RNA, 2331 nt
Organism: Oncorhynchus keta (chum salmon)
Lineage: Eukaryota; Metazoa; Chordata; Actinopteri; Salmoniformes; Salmonidae
Exons: 4
Source: RefSeq, a predicted model, not a curated record